Molecule: RNA transcript, 4322 nt
Organism: Herpailurus yagouaroundi (jaguarundi)
Lineage: Eukaryota; Metazoa; Chordata; Mammalia; Carnivora; Felidae
Gene: SLC4A9
Gene name: solute carrier family 4 member 9
Exons: 23
Source: RefSeq, a predicted model, not a curated record
AGCUAGAAAGGAAUCAGCAAGAGAGAAUGGUACGAGAUGUGGUCAUGGAGGUAGGCUAGGGCCAGACUACAGAUUUUAUAGGUCAUGACGGAGUUUGAUUUUUCUUCUAGAAGUAAUGGGAAUGUAUUGGGUGAGGUUUGAGAAGAGUAACAUAGCUUGAUUACCUUUUAAAACAAUUCCUAUGGCUGCUGUGCAGAGAAUGAACUUCGGCCAAGGAAGAGUGGAGGCAGGGGGAUUAUUGCAAGAGAUUAAAAGCUAUAGAGAUAAUUCAGGUGACACAUGGUGGUGGCUUGGAACAGGGCAGAAGUGGAGGAUGUGGGAGAUGUGGUUGGAUGCUGGGUUUACUUUGAAGGAAGAGCCAAGAGGAGUUGCUAAUAGACCACAUUUUCUUCUGCUCCUUUGGCCCUGGGAACUCCAUACACACACUCUAGUUGGCUCCUCUAUCCUCACUGGGGGUCUGGGUUACAGAGGCAGACCCCAGGGACCCAGCUAAAUUGCAAAGUUUCCAGGAUCAAACAAAGGAAUUUAAGACUCAGGCGUUGUGUUCUCCAUGAACUGUCUCCACUUUCCAUUAUUAGCCCAUUUAAUGGGAGGGGACUCUGCCUGUUGUCUCCCUUACUCGAUCUAGCCUGGCUUCUAUACCCCUAGUUACUCAUUAAGACAUUUGUUUAUCCAAAUAGGGGCCCUUAGGGUGUAUUGGUGACACCCAAAACAGUCCUGGGGGUGGUGGUGUUUGUAUCUGAUACAGAGUAGGGGGCAGGAUCAUCUGAUGGUCUCAGUCUUCAGACCCAGGCCAGUGACUUACUCAUGUUAAUUUACACAAAACACAGUGGGGUCAGACCUGAUCCCACAGAAAAUGCACACAACAUUUUUGCCCCAGGCUGGGCAUUUCUUUAGAGCCUGGGAAAGAUCAGGCUAGCCUUACAAACAUUCUCGGGCAGCAAAGGCUGGGGAAAGCAAGCAAGAAAGGGGAUUACCCAGUUGGCUCUGGAGCCAGCAGGCCCUGCUCUGUUUGUGUUGCGCUGCAUGGAGGGUGGGGGUGCAUUAUAAAUGCAGCCAGCCAGAGGGCCCCUGGCUCAAAACCUAGGACUCAAAACCUAGGACUGCACCAUCCCUGGGAGUCUGUGCAAGCCUCCCCAAGAUGAAGCUGCCAGGCCAGGAAGAGUUUGAAGUCUCCAGUGCUUGUGAAAAUGUGCCCACAGGAGAGCUGGAGAAUGGCCCUGGCUCUUGCCCCAGCCCUGACGGCACCUCAGACACAGACAGAGGGGAUCGGGGGGUACCCACGGACCCUCUGCUCUUCAUUCAGCUGAAUGAACUUCUGGGCUGGCCCCAGGCACUGGAGUGGAGAGAGACAGGCAGGUGGGUGCUGUUUGAGGAGAAGCUGGAGGUGGGUGCAGGCCGGUGGAGUGUCCCUCACGUGCCCACCCUGGCACUGCCCAGCCUUCAGAAGCUCCGCAGCCUACUGGCCGAGGGCCUUGUGCUCCUGGACUGUCCAGCUCAGAGCUUCCUGGAGCUCGUGGAACAGGUGACAAGAGUGGAGUCGCUGAGCCCAGAGCUGAGAGGGCAGCUGCAGGCCUUGCUGCUGCAGAGACCCCAGCAUCUCAUCCAGCCCACAGGCACCAGGCCCUGCCAGGGGUCUGCUCAUCCAAGAGAGGCUUCUCACAGUGAGGAAGCCCCGCUGAAGGAACAGCGUCAGAACCCUCUGAGACGGAAACUGCCUCCAGGGGCUGAGGCAGGGGCUGUGCUGGCCGGAGAGUUGGGCUUCCUGGUACGGCCCCUGGGGGCCUUUGUACGACUGCGGGAUCCAGUGGUGUUGGGGCCCCUCACUGAGGUGCCCCUUCCCAGCAGGUUUUUCUGCCUCCUCCUUGGUCCCUCCACACUGGGAAGGGGCUAUCAUGAGAUGGGCCGGGCCAUGGCCGUCCUCCUCAGUGACCGGCAAUUCCAGUGGUCAGUUCGUCGGGCCAGCAGCCUUCAGCACCUUCUGGCAGCCCUGGAUGCCUUCCUAGAGGAGGUGACAGUGCUUCCUCCAGGUCGGUGGGACCCGACAGCCCGGAUCGCCCCACCCAAAUGUCUGCCUUCCCAGCACAAAAGGCUCCUCUCACAACUGAGGGAGGUCAAGGGCCCAUCUGCCCAGCAUGGGGCCUUGGCUGAGGACAGACAUGGUCACUGGCCACAUGUGCCCAGCCCAGAGUUACAGCGGACAGGCAGGCUGUUUGGGGGCCUUGUCCAGGAUGUGCGUCGGAAGGCCUUGUGGUACACCAGUGACUUCCUGGACGCGCUGCAUCCCCAGUGCUUCUCGGCUGUGCUCUACAUCUACCUGGCCACCAUCACUAACGCCAUCACUUUUGGGGGUCUGCUGGGGGAAGCCACCGAUGGUGCUCAGGGGGUGCUGGAAAGUUUUCUGGGCACUGCAGUGGCUGGAGCUGCUUUCUGCCUGUUGGCUGGCCAGCCCCUCACCAUCCUCAGCAGCACGGGGCCAGUGCUGGUCUUUGAACGCCUGCUCUUCUCCUUCAGCAGAGAUUACAGCUUGGACUACCUGCCUUUCCGCCUAUGGGUGGGCAUCUGGGUGGCCACCUUUUGUCUGGCACUAGUGGCCACAGAGGCCAGCGUGCUGGUACGCUACUUUACCCGCUUCACCGAAGAAGGCUUCUGUGCCCUCAUCAGCCUCAUCUUCAUCUACGAUGCUGUGGGCAAAAUGCUGAGCUUGACCAGUGCCUAUCCCAUCCAGAGCCCUGGCUCUCCUGCCUACGGCUGCUUUUGCCAGUACCCAGACCUGGGAGGAAAUGAGUCUCAGUGGAAGGAGACAGAACCAAAAGACAGAGAUGACAUCUCAAGCAUGGACCUAGGCCUGGUCAAUGCCUCCUUGCUGCCCCCACCUGAGUGUGCCCGACGGGGAGGCCACCCUCGUGGUCCCGGCUGUCAUAUAGUCCCAGACAUCGCCUUCUUCUCUGUCCUCCUCUUCCUUACUUCUUUCCUCAUAGCCACGGCCCUCAAGCAUGUAAAGACAAGCCGCUUCUUCCCCUCUGUGGUGCGCAAAGUGCUCGGUGACUUCUCCUCAGUCCUGGCCAUGCUGCUGGGCUGUGGCCUCGAUUCCUUCCUGGGUCUAGCCACACCAAAGCUCAUGGUGCCCAGCGAGUUCAAGGCACUGGAAUGCUUUCAACCAGUUGUACAUGCACACGUACUGCUCCCACCUACCACCCAGGGUCUUGGAACUGGGCCCACACUCCCUGGGCGCGGAUGGCUGGUGUCACCUUUUGGAGCCAACCCCUGGUGGCUGAGUGUGGCAGCCGCCCUCCCUGCUCUGCUGCUGUCUAUCCUCAUCUUCAUGGACCAGCAGAUCACAGCAGUCAUCCUCAACCGUGCCGAAUAUAAACUGCGGAAGGGAGCUGGCUUCCACCUGGACCUCUUCUGUGUGGCUGUGCUGCUGCUGCUCACUUCGGUGCUUGGGCUGCCCUGGUAUGUCUCAGCCACAGUCAUCUCCCUGGCCCAUAUGGACAGUCUUCGGAGAGAGAGCACAGCUUGUGUCCUGGGGGAACCCCGCAGCUUCCUGGGCAUCAGGGAGCAGAGGCUGACAGGCCUGGUGGUGUUCAUCCUCACAGGAGCCUCCAUCUUCCUGGCACCUGUACUGAAGUUCAUCCCGAUGCCUGUGCUCUAUGGAAUCUUCCUGUACAUGGGAGUGGCAGCGAUUAGCAGCAUCCAGUUCACAAAGAGGGUACAGCUAUUAUUGAUGCCAGCAAAACACCAGCCAGACCUCCUCCUCUUGAGACAUGUGCCUCUGAGCAGGGUCCACCUCUUCACAGCUAUCCAGCUUGCCUGCCUGGGUCUGCUUUGGAUAAUCAAAUCUACUCCUGCAGCCAUCAUCUUCCCCCUCAUGUUGCUGGGCCUGGUGGGGGUCCGAAAGGCACUGGAGUGGGUCUUCUCACCACAGGAACUCCUUUGGCUGGACGAGCUGAUGCCAGAGAAGGAAAGGAACAUCCCUGAGAAGGGACUGGAGCCAGAGUACUCACUUAGUGGUGACACUGAAGAUUCAGAGCUGAUGUAUCAGCCAAGGGCUCCAGAAAUCAACAUCUCUGUGAAUUAGCUGGAGUAGGAGGAAUUUGGGAGUAGAGACUCCAGGAAACUGAGCAUGAGGUGUUUACUCAGGAAGUUAGGACAUUGUUGGUUUUUGGCUUAACAGCCAGAUGUUCAGUCGUCUGGGAACAAUGGGGCAGGACUGGAGGGCAGCUGGCCAAGACUUGUAUUGCCCUCUUGAGCAGGAGGUAGAGAGUGGCAGGGAACAAGCAGGUCUGCUGGUAAGCCCUGAUGACUGACUAGGCCCUAUU